GUGAGCAGUUUCAUCUCUACACCUGCUGAAAUAACCACCAUAAAGACCUGGAGGACACAGCCCGGGAUGCAGAUGGAGCUGCUGUGCCUCAGAGAGUUGGCAAUGUACUUGGGGACCAUGGCUGAGAGGAGGCAGAGAUUUCCACAGGUGUCUCUGCUUUAAUGUGAAGGAACUAGCAAUAUCAACAUGACAGAUCAGAGAACCCUGCUACCCUCCCCAACCACAAAGUUGGCACUCUCUGACCAACAGAAAGUAGGAAAAAAGAAAGAAAGAAAAUAAAACAAGAACAAAGUACAGAUCAAGGGGGACACUGCGUAGAAAAGAACUAUUUCAGGCAUUGCACCCCGUGAAUGGGAACUGUGGAGAACCAUGCAGGAAUCGCCAGGAAGUGAGAAAACAGCUCCAGGCACCAUUAGAGGAAGACAAGGACUCCUCCAGAGACCUGCAAAUAGCCCAAGGCCAGCUGGAAGAUUCCGUCCACAGAAGGGAAGGCCAAAGUCUACUCCAUCUGCCUUCCCCACCUGCUGGUUGUGUUGCUGUUUCUCUACACUGGAUGCUUUGCUUAUAUGAAGCCAACCUCAGAGACCCCGUCCAUGUCUGACCUGGUCAUUUCUAUGUACUAC
Molecule: long non-coding RNA, 623 nt
Organism: Talpa occidentalis (Iberian mole)
Lineage: Eukaryota; Metazoa; Chordata; Mammalia; Eulipotyphla; Talpidae
Exons: 3
Source: RefSeq, a predicted model, not a curated record